GCCUACAGCCACACCACCCUGAGAGCAUCCAAUCCCAUCUGAUCUUGGAAGAUAAGCAAGGUCAGGCCCAGGUAGUACUUGGAAGGGAGACCUCCUGGGAAUACUGGGUGCUGUGCAGGCC
RNAcentral lists this ribosomal RNA (121 nucleotides) under Lepidothrix coronata (blue-crowned manakin). Lineage: Eukaryota; Metazoa; Chordata; Aves; Passeriformes; Pipridae. The record is from RNAcentral.